RNAcentral lists this ribosomal RNA (5677 nucleotides) under Triticum aestivum (bread wheat). RNAcentral's name for it is "partial small subunit ribosomal RNA". The record is from RNAcentral. Lineage: Eukaryota; Viridiplantae; Streptophyta; Magnoliopsida; Poales; Poaceae.
GGCCCCCGCCCGCCCAUCGCGCAUCCGCGUCAUGCGCCCGGAGGUGGAGGAGGUCCUCAAGAGCCCCCGCCGCGCCCGCGCCAAGCUGCACAAGGAGGGCGGCGGCGAGCAGGAGGACGGCGCCGGCGCGCGCCCGCGGUACGACUGCGCGUUCCAGGACGAGGAGGGGCAGCAGGGGUUCGCGCCGCCCGACGUGGUGUGGUGCAAGGUGCGGAGCCACCCCUGGUGGCCGGCCCAGGUCUUCGACGCCGCCGACGCCUCCGAGCUCGCGCUCCGGCACGCCAGGCCGGGGGCGCCCCUCGUCGCCUACUUCUGGGACCGGACCUUCGCCUGGAUGGACCCCUCCGCGCUGCGCCCCUUCCGCGCCCACUUCCCCCGCCUCGCCGCCCAGAGCACCGUCUCCAGCUACGUCGCCUCUGUCGACGCCGCGCUGCAGGAGGUCACCCGCCGCAUCGAGGCCGGCCUCUCCUGCUCCUGCUCCCCGCCCGCCGUCGCCAGGAAGCAGCAGAUUCACAACUCAGGGAUCAGGGAAGGGGCCUACGGCGCCGUGGUGGACGAGGUGUACAUGAGGGACACGUUCCGUGCCAAGCCGUUCGUCGACUACAUUUCGGCGCUGGGGAGGAGCCCGCUGGCCGGCGCCGAUCGUCUCGACCUUGCCACCGCCAUGGCGCAGCUCAGGUCUUUCAACCGGUUGAGGUGUCCAAUGGAGCUUCCUGAGUUUGUCAUCUUCCAGGGGAUUGAGGAUGUUGCUGCUGCCGUUGCUCCUGAGGCUGAUGCUGAUGCUGAUGCUGAUGCUGAUGCUGAUGUGGCAGCAACACAACAGACAAAGAGGAAGAGGACGGAGGAGAAGGGCGGCGGGGAUGGCAAUGCUCCGGCCAAGGAGAAGAGAUCGAGGCACGGCGAGAGCUCAUCGCGCAAGAAAGAUGCUCCUGCAGAGGAACAAGAAGAGGCCAUUGAUGAUGCUCCGACCAAGGAGGAGAAGAAAUCAAGGAGGCGUGGCGAGAGCUCAUCGCGUGAGAGAGAUGCUGCUGCAAAGGAACCAGAAGUGGCCAUUGAUGUUGAGGACAGCCCUCCUAUGCCCAGGGACAGGAUCAUGGACACCUCCGAAGAUGCACCGGAUAAGGGAGAAGCUCCUGCAAACAAAGAUGCCGCCAUGGUUGAGGACACCCCUCCUAUGCCCAGUACCAAGCAAAGGAAGUCAAAGAGAGGUAGCAAGACUUCAGCUGAUAAAAAGAAGAAAGACACCUCCAAAGACGCGGCAGGUAAGGGCGAGUCUCUGCCAGAGGCAGAGCCUGCCAAAGAAGAUGAUGUGAAUGGGGACAGCUCUAUGCCGAGUGUGGAGGCGACAGAUGAUACAUUGAGCAAGCAAAGGAAGUCGAAGAGAGUUAGCAGGAGUGCAGCAGAGAGCAAGAAGAAAGACACCUCCAAAGACGCAGCCGAUAAGGGCGAGCCUCUACCAGAGGCAGAGCCUGCAAAAGAAGAUGAUAUGGAUGAGGACAGCUCUAUGCCCAGCAGCGGGGCGGCAGAUGAUACAUUGAGCAAGGGAAAGAAGUCAAAAAGAGCUACUAGGAGUUCAGGAAAGACAAAGAAGAACGACACCUCCAAGGACGCAGAUAAGACAGAGUCUGUAACUGAGCCUGCAAAGGAAGUGGCCGAGAACGAGGACAGCUCUAUGCCCAGUGCAGAGGCGACAGAUGACACAGUGAGCAAGGGAAGAAAGUCGAAGAAAAGUAAGGGUUCAGCAAAGACCAAGAAGAAAGAUGCAGAUAAGAAUGAGUCUCUACCAGAGCCUGCAAAGGAAGUUGCCGAGGAUGAGGACAGCUCUAUGCCCAGUGCAGAGGCGAUAGAUGGUGCAUUGAGCAAGGAAACGAAUUCCAAGAGCAGUACAAGGUCGGCAAAGAAGAAGAAGAAAGACGCAGGUAAAAAAGAGUCUCUACCAGAUCCUGCAAAGGAAGGUGCUGAGAAUGAGGACAGCUCUAUGCCCAGUGGAGGGGCGACAGAUGGUGCGUUGAGCAAGGAAACAAAUUCCAAGAUCAGUACGAGGUCGGCAAAGAAGAAGAAGAAAGACGCAGAUAAGAAAGAGUCUCUGCCAGGGCCUGCAAAGGAAAAGGCCACUGGUACUGACAGUUCAAUGCUGAGUAGAGUGGUGGCAGAUGAUACACCGAGCAAGAAAAGGAAGUCCAGUAAGAAGAGUUCAGCCAGUAACAGGAUCAUAGACACCUCCAUGGAUGCUGUGGAUGGCAUGUUGAGUGAGAGAAAAUCAGGGCGUAGGCUAAGGUCCAGCCACAAGAUUGUAGAGGCUUUGGAGGUUAUGAAAUGGCCGAGGAAGAAGGAUGCUGGUGAAACCACAAAGGUAAAAGAUAAAGAUGCUGCUUUGCCCAAGGAGAACAAUCUAGGGCAUAGAGCGGGCUCUGCACGCCACAAGGAUAAAACCACAAUCACAAAGGAUGGGAAUGGACUUACAGUUUCUCCUCUCAAGAAAAGGUUGCACCUUGAUGUACACUCAGCAACAGAGAAUGCGCCCUUCGCAGUCUCAGAGCUUGGCAGGAAGAAGAAGACGCUUAUUGAACUUCUGGCAGAGACAGCUACCCCUAACCCUUCAGCAGGUGGUAAGAGCAAGGCUCGAGCGGAGCGUCCCUUGCCUUCUUCAGUCCUGAAACCUGAGGCUACACCGAACACCAGAGGGAAGCGUUCUUUGCCUGCUUCUACUGAGACACCUGAGGAUCCAGGCCGUGAUAAGGAUACAAUUAAGACCAGAGAGAAGCGUUCUGUGGCCGCAUCGACCGAGAAACCUGAGCGUGAUACGAGAAGUACAGUGAAGGCUAGAAGAAAAAGUUCUUUGCCUUCUUCAGCCGAGGAACCUGAGGACCCAGACCGUGAUAAAAAUGAUGCAAUGAAGACUAGAGGGAAGCGUUCUUUGCCUGCAUCAGCUGAGAAACCUCAGGAUCCUGACCGCGGCACAAAGGGUACAGCGAAGACUAGGGGUAAACGCUCUCUGCCUGAAUCAAUUGAGGAUCCUGACCGUGUUACAAAGGGUUCAUCAAAGACUAAGGGGAAAGGUUCUCUGCCUGAAUCAACUGAGGAACCAGAGGGUCCUGAUGACCGUGAUAUGAAGGAUUCAAUGCACACCAGGAAACGAAAGAAGCUCGACACAUUGGGGGAUUUGUCUUCCCAGCCACAGCCUGUUUCUCCCAAGGGUUCCACGAAAGCUCGAGAAGUGAAGCGCAAAGCUGCUGGGCAGAAGUCACAGGCAUCUCCUGUUGUCAAAGCCAAUGGUGGCAUAUCAGGCGAUACGUCUUCCAAGAGGUCCGCAAGGCGCAAAGCUGCUGAACCGAAGCCACAGGAAACCCCUGUUGUCAAAGCUAACGGUGAAGCUUCUCAGACGAGAUCGCGUAGGGCCAUAAACAGUGAAGUGACUGUUCCAGACAAGUCUCCACGCUCUGUUAAGCCGGAUAAGGGCAAGAAAGGUGCCGUGGCAGAAGGCUCUCCGUCUUGUGGUGAAAUGCUGUCACAGCUUUGUGUCGGAGCAAGUGAUGCUGAGAAGAUGGGGAAGAUCGCCCCUACAAGCGCUAGCUUCUUGACUGAUUUCCUGAAGAGCGCUCGUGCCUGUACUUCUGAUGUGGAGGAGGCAGCCAACGCAGACUGCCGUGCUUCUAGUCCCCAUGCUGACGAGGAGAUACCUGAGAAGGCAGCAGCAGACAAAGUUUCUAGUCCCAAUGCUGACGAAGAGAUACCUGAGGAAGCAGCAGCAGACAAAAUUUCUAGUCCUCAUGCUGUCGAGGAGAUACCUGAGAAGGCAACAGACAAUGUUUCUAGUCCUCAUGCUGACAUGGAGGUGCCCGAGGAGGCAGCAGACAAAGUGUCUAGUCCUCAUGCUGACGAUGAGGUGAUACCUGAGGAGGCAGCAGAGAAAGUUUCUAGUCCCAGUGCCGAUGAGGCGAUACCCGAGGAGGCAGCAGAGAAAGUUUCUAGUCCCAAUGCUGAUGAGGUGGUACCCGAGAAGGCAGCAGUUGAAGUUUCCAGUGCCCCUGCUGAUGAGGCGAUACCUGAGAAGGCAGCAGAGAGAGUUUCCAGUCCCAAUGCUGAUGAGGUGAUACCUGAGGAGGCAGCAGACAAAGUUUCUAGUCCCCAUGCUGAUGAGGCGAUACCUGAGGUGGCAGCAGAUGAAGUUUCACUUGCCCCUGCCGACGAGGAGACACUUUUGAAGGUAAAAGAGGAAGUUUCUAGUCCCCUUGCUGACGAGCAGACACUUGAGACGGCAGCAACAGAGAAAGUUUCUAGUGCCCCUGCCGACGAGGAGACACUUGAGACGGCAGCAGCAGAGAAAGUUUCUAGUGCUCCUGCCGACGAGGAGACACCUGAGACGGCAGCAGCAGAGAAAGUUUCUAAUGCCCCUGCCGGCGAGGAGACACUUGAGAAGGUAAAAGAGGAAGUUUCUAGUCCGCAUGCUGAUGAGGUGAUACCUGAGAAGACGGCAGAGAAAGUUUCUAGUCCCCAUGCUGAGGAGGCGAUACCUGAGAAGGCAGCAGAUGAAGCUUCUAGUCCCCCUGCCGACGUGGAGACACCUGAGAAGGAAACAGAGAAAGUUUCUUGCCCCCCUGUCGACGAGGAGAUAGCUGAGAAGCCAGCAGACAAAGUGUCUAGUCCUCAUGCUGAAGCAGAGAUGUCUGAGAAGGCAGCAAAGAGCUCCCCUGCUCCAUCAGAGCCGCCGGUGGUGGCUGAUAAUAUGAAGGACGAUUACUGGUCUGACAUUCUCAUAGACGUGGAGGAACCGCUGUCUAGUCUGGCAAAGAAGAAGGACAAGGGCAAGAUGAGAUCAAGCAAGAAACAGCGGCGUGACGACGAGAUGAAGCAAGAUGAGAGCCAGCAAGACAAGGCAGAGGCAGAGAAUGGGAAGGCGAACGGGGGUGGCGGCCAGGCAAGCGCGGCCGAGGAGGACGCGUCGCUGAUGGGGCUGGUGCUGCACUUCAGCAAGCCAGGCGCGGUGCCCUCGCGUGGCGACCUCAUCGAGAUCUUCAGCCAGUACGGGCCCGUGAGCGAGGCGAAGACGGAGACGGACCAGCACUCCAGCUCGGCCCAGGUGGUGUUCAGGCGGCGCGCGGACGCGGAGGCGGCGUUCGGCGGCGCGGGCAAGAUGGCGGCCCUCAGGCCCAGCCUCGACAGCUUCCGGCUCACCGACUUCCCGUCCGCUGCGGCCGCGUUCCGGGGCGACGACGGGCCGAAGCAGGGGUGAACAGGGCUGCUGGAGGUGGAGGAGAGAGGUGAAGGAGGAGAGGAGGAGGUGUUUGUUAUUUAGGUGGUGGUAGCUUUGUGGUUGUGUUAAAAGGAGGAGUAAGCAUUGUGGCUUUGUGGUGUCUUUUUGGAGCUCCCUGGAUGCUGAUGCUGAGAGGUGUUUGUUAUUAAGUAGUAGUAUAAGAUGUAAAAAGACUAUGGCAUGGUUGCAUGUGAGGAUUGGAUGCAUGUGAGGAUUGGUGUAAAAACCUGGUGACUUUGUUGGUACCCUACCUGAAAGUCUGUCUGUCUUGUGUUGUGUGUCUGGUUGAAUUGUGUGGUGAAUGAGAGUGCUAUUGGUUGGGGGUCACUAGUUGUUAUUGUUGGUGUUGUGGUCAUGUUUGUAGCAGCAGAGGAGUAAUAGCUUUUACUAUAUGAUAUGAUGAGCUGGAGUAUCUUAUUUGGC